ACAAAAAGAGAAUUUUUUUUAAAUGGAAGAGUAAACAAUCGUUUAAUUACAGUCAAAGUUUUGCUUUCAUGUGCAUAUUUUAGAGAAUAAAACCACACAACACACAAACACACAUGCCAGACAGAUCAAAUGAGAUAGAAGAGGCGAUUCAAAAGCAGCAGAAAGCAAAAAAAAACACCUCAAUUUUAAUACAUCAACUGUUUUGUGCACAUACUCGGAUACCAUAUUCGCAGAGUCGUGUACACACAAAACGGCUCGGUUCAGUCAAUUCAGUGAGGCACGCGGGCACAAACGGCAAACGUCAUACCAAUUCAAACGAUCUAUUACGAUCUCCAAAUCACUACUUACAAUUAUGCAAACUUUGUUUUGCGCUGUGAAUAUACUAUUCCACUAUGCAAUAUGGAUAGUUCAAAUACAAACUCAUCGCAUACAAUCAACCAACCGACCGACCGAAUGAACGACCAAACGACCGAACGACCAAACAUCACAUUCCAAUUCCGUUCAUUUUUCUCAUUCUCUUCGGAUUUUAUUUGUUGUAUAUUUUCAAUGGUUUUUGAUGUUUCUCAUUUAACGGGCCACAAACCAUUCGAGAGAGAAAAAAAAAAUAUCUAUCUAUCUAUCUAUGUAUCGC
Molecule: long non-coding RNA, 631 nt
Organism: Sitodiplosis mosellana (orange wheat blossom midge)
Lineage: Eukaryota; Metazoa; Arthropoda; Insecta; Diptera; Cecidomyiidae
Exons: 3
Source: RefSeq, a predicted model, not a curated record